UACAGAGGUCUCAAGCGUUGUUCGGAUUCAUUGGGCGUAAAGGGUGCGUAGGCGGCCAACUAAGUCGGACGUGAAAUCCCUCGGCUUAACCGGGGAACUGCGUCCGAUACUGGAUGGCUAGAGUUCGGGAGAGGGAUGCGGAAUUCCAGGUGUAGCGGUGAAAUGCGUAGAUAUCUGGAGGAACACCGGUGGCGAAGGCGGCAUCCUGGACCGACACUGACGCUGAGGAGCGAAAGCCAGGGGAGCAAACGGG
This 253-nucleotide ribosomal RNA is filed under the name uncultured bacterium. RNAcentral's name for it is "partial 16S ribosomal RNA". It matches the Rfam family "Bacterial small subunit ribosomal RNA", at positions 524 to 776 of the family's 1533-position model. The record is from RNAcentral.